CUAGCGACUUCAGAGUUUGAUCCUGGCUCAGGAUGAACGCUAGCGGCAGGCUUAACACAUGCAAGUCGAGGGGCAGCAUGAAGGUUAGCAAUAACCUUUGAUGGCGACCGGCGCAAGGGUGCGUAACGCGUGAGCAACUUGCCCGUUUCUGGGGAAUAACCGGUGGAAACGCCGACUAAUACCCCAUAGCAUCAGAAUGAGGCAUCUCAAUCUGAUUAAAGAAAUUCGGAAACGGAUAGGCUCGCGUGACAUUAGCUAGAUGGCGGGGUAACGGCCCACCAUGGCUACGAUGUCUAGGGGUUCUGAGAGGAAGGUCCCCCACACUGGAACUGAGACACGGUCCAG
This 345-nucleotide ribosomal RNA is filed under the name uncultured bacterium. RNAcentral describes it as "bacterial SSU rRNA". It matches the Rfam family "Bacterial small subunit ribosomal RNA", at positions 1 to 334 of the family's 1533-position model. The record is from RNAcentral.